This 1115-nucleotide long non-coding RNA is filed under the name Homo sapiens (human). Its description in RNAcentral is "HSALNT0226377". The record is from RNAcentral. Lineage: Eukaryota; Metazoa; Chordata; Mammalia; Primates; Hominidae.
UCCAGAGCAUUAGUCAGCUCCUCGGGCUGCAGGCAGAGGUUUGGCUGCAUCAAGACCCAAAGGGUCAAGAGGGCUGCAGCAGCAUCUCAAAAGGAGCCUAAUCAGCUGCCGUCUAGAGAGGAGGCCAGGAAUCCAAGGAGAUCCCCUCCAGUGGAGGCUCGGCACACCUGGUCUCCUAUCCUCACCAUCCCCGGCUUUCUAGAGCCCUGCCUGACCGUCCUACCAUCAGGUCAGGCAUCGGGGCUGCUGGAAGCCUCCUGAGACUCCCCAGGCCCUGCAAGCCUGACAGGGAGCCCACCCCGUGGCCAGGCCAGCCCGCACCUGCUCAUGGUACUCCACGCCCAUGCUCAGCGUGUUGACAAGGAUGGCCAUCAUGAUGCCACGGCUGAAGUACUUGCUGUCCACGAUGCGGCGCAGCUUGCCGCUGAAGGUGGCGUGCCCGCUGCUCCCGCAUCAGCUGACUCUCCCGCUGCUUCGUCUCCGAGAACUGCGUGGCAAUCACCACCAGGCACAGGUUGAUCAUGAAGAAGGAGCCCACCUGUGACGGGGGCGGGCGGGUCCCCGCAGGGUGGCUCUAGGUAUACCUAGGACCCCACAGACGUCUGCGGCCUGAUUAACCCAACUCUGCCAGGACCCACUGGGGCCUAUGAGAGGACCAGCUAAGGAGCACACCUGGGGCCACACACGCCCGUGGAAAGCGGUGCUGGGAGGCUAUGCACUCCCCAGGGUGUUCCUGGCUCUUCAGCCCUGAGCCAGCACCCACAGGCCUGGACCCUGUCUAGGUGAUGCCAUGGCCUCUUGGGGUCCCCAGCCACACCUCCCCACCCCCGCAAGCUCUGCCUCCCUCCCCUGUGUGCUCCCUUCAGCUGGAAGACAGACAGGAGCCCCUAUGACCACCCAGGUACCCCACCCCACCCCCAGCCAGCUAACACCAGGGCCCAUCAUGGCGAACACUGCCGCCCACACUCACGAUGAUGAGCAGGAUGAAAUAGAUGAAGUUGUAGAAUGAGUGGGCGUCCAUGACGUAGUACAUGAUGUCCACCCAGCCUUCCAGCGUGAUCACCUGGGGGGGCAGUGGCUUGACUUGGGCCCGCACGACCCCUCCUCCUCCUCCC